Molecule: ribosomal RNA, 462 nt
Filed under: uncultured bacterium
Lineage: Bacteria
Description: partial 16S ribosomal RNA
Rfam family: Bacterial small subunit ribosomal RNA
Source: RNAcentral
GACGAACGCUGGCGGCGUGCUUAACACAUGCAAGUCGAACGGUAAGGCCCUUCGGGGUCCACGAGUGGCGAACGGGUGAGUAACACGUGAGUAAUGUGCCCUUGACUCUGGGAUAACAGCCGGAAACGGUUGCUAAUACCGGCUAUACACAUGUGCCUGCAUGGGUGUGUGUGGAAAGCUUUUGCGGUCUUGGAUCAACUCGCGGCCUCUCAGCUUGUUGGUGGGGUAAUGGCCUACCAAGGCUUCGACGGGUAGCCGGCCUGGGAGGGCGACCGGCCACACGGGGACUGAGAUACGGCCCAGACUCGUACGGGAGGAAGGGGGGGGGAAGAUUGCACAAUGGGCGGAAGCCUGAGGCAGCAACGCCGCGUGCGGGAGGACGGCGUUCGGGUGGUAAACCGCUUUCAGUAGGGACGAAGCGAAAGUGACGGUACCGACAGAAGAAGCACGGGCAAACUAGGU